Molecule: long non-coding RNA, 946 nt
Organism: Bufo gargarizans (Asiatic toad)
Lineage: Eukaryota; Metazoa; Chordata; Amphibia; Anura; Bufonidae
Exons: 3
Source: RefSeq, a predicted model, not a curated record
UUCCAAAAGCCAUAGCUUUUUUACUUUUCCGUUCACAUAGCUAUAUGAGGGCUUUUUUUUUUUUGCAGGACAAGAUGCAUUUUUUAAUGCCACCAUUCAUACUGUGAAUAGGAUUUUUACACACUCCAUUCUGCACUAUGCCUCGCGCAAUCGCCGAUUCCUGUUAGUGCGGCUGGAUGCCGGUAUCAUAUAGCCGGCAGAUUGUGCAUAUGGAGCGGGCUCACUGCAGAGGCCCGCUCCAUACAUCCCCUGUCACGCAAUGACAUACCUUUGCGUCAUAAUGUGUGAAGGAGUUAAUCACGUAACUACUGUUAGAUUUUUUUUUGUGGAUAUUUCUUGUGGUUGUGAUUAUAUGCUUUCAUCUUUAUCCUUCAGCUCUUUCUGAAGCGGGGAUACCCUUGGACCAACAAAAGGGCAGAAAAAGAGGCAAUAGUACGGUCUGUCCGGGCGAAAUUAAAAUUUAAAAGCGGCAUAUGGCACGACUACAAGACAAUUAAAAAAAAGUGGUGUGACCUGAAGCGCCUACACCCAGAUCAGGUCGAUGAGUAUAGUCGGCGAUUAUGCCCAGAUAAACCAGUUCCCUCGGUCCGCCACCACAAAAUAAAAACAAAUAAAAAAAUUAAAAAGAUGGCGCACAACGAGGAGGAGGUAGAAAAUGUGGAGGCGCCCAUGGAGGAUGAGGUCGAAAAUGUGCAGGCCACUUCACCCCCAGAUAUAGGUGAUACAGAGGCCACUGAGGAGGAGGCCGGACCUUCCCAGCCACCUGAUUCCGCCCCCCCAGCUCCAGAAGAGGAGGAAGAGGUGGUCUACACCCCCCCAUCGGGAGGUAGUGAACAAGGCUAUAAAGGAAUUGGAGACCACCAAAAAGGGAUUUAUUUAAGAAAAUGCAGCAUCGCUUUAAUAAGAGGAUUCGGCAAAUGGAGGAAAAACACCUUCACCAGCUCCA